AAUCAACGCUGGCGGCGUGCCUAACACAUGCAAGUCGCGCGCGAAAGGGGGGCAACUCCCAAGUAGAGCGGCGAACGGGUGAGUAACACGUGGGUAAUCUACCUUCGAGUGGGGAACAACACCGGGAAACUGGUGCUAAUUCCGCAUAACAUCGUCGGGGCUUCGGUUCUGACGCUCAAAGCUGGGGAUCGCAAGACCUAGCGCUUGAAGAUGAGCCCGCGUCCGAUUAGCUAGUUGGNGGGGUAAACGGCCCACCAAAGGCGACGAUCGGUAGCUGGUCUGAGAGGAUGGCCAGCCACAUUGGGACUGAGACACGGCCCAAACUCCUACGGGAGGCAGCAGUGGGGAAUCUUGCGCAAUGGGCAAAGCCUGACGCAGCGACGCCGCGUGAGGGAUGACGGCCUGGUU
Molecule: ribosomal RNA, 408 nt
Filed under: uncultured bacterium
Lineage: Bacteria
Description: bacterial SSU rRNA
Rfam family: Bacterial small subunit ribosomal RNA
Source: RNAcentral